GACGAACGCUGGCGGCGUGCUUAACACAUGCAAGUCGAACGGAAAGGCCCUGCUUGCAGGGUACUCGAGUGGCGAACGGGUGAGUAACACGUGGGUGAUCUGCCCUGCACUUCGGGAUAAGCCUGGGAAACUGGGUCUAAUACCGGAUAGGAGCCAUUUUUAGUGUGAUGGUUGGAAAGUUUUGUCGGUGUAGGAUGAGCUCGCGGCGUAUCAGCUUGUUGGUGGGGUAAUGGCCUACCAAGGCGGCGACGGGUAGCCGGCCUGAGAGGGUGGACGGCCACAUUGGGACUGAGAUACGGCCCAGACUCCUACGGGAGGCAGCAGUGGGGAAUAUUGCACAAUGGGCGCAAGCCUGAUGCAGCGACGCCGCGUGGGGGAUGACGGCCUUCGGGUUGUAAACUCCUUUCGCUAGGGACGAAGCUUUUGUGACGGUACCUAGAUAAGAAGCACCGGCUAACUACGUG
Molecule: ribosomal RNA, 464 nt
Filed under: uncultured bacterium
Lineage: Bacteria
Description: partial 16S ribosomal RNA
Rfam family: Bacterial small subunit ribosomal RNA
Source: RNAcentral